CGGYCGYGGUAUUCUGACCGUGCGARGGUAGCGUAAUCACUUGUCUUUUAAAUAGAGACUGGAAUGAAUGACUAAACGAGGCUCUAUCUGUCUCCUACAGGCGAUCAGUGAAAUUGAUCUCYUCGUSCAAAAGCGAGAAUGGUAACAUAAGACGAGAAGACCCUGUGGAACUUUAAAUAACAGCUAAUAGCCAUAAACCCACUAAACCGAUAGGACCACUACUAUGACCACUCUUAGCUCUAUUUUCGGGUGGGGUGACCUCGGAGRAAAACGAAACCUCCGAAAACCUAUACUAAGAACAACAAACCAAAGUGCCUCCGGCUAAWCGAUCCAAUAUAWUUGRUUAAUGAACCAAGCUACCCCAGGGAUAACAGMGCAAUCCCCUCUUAGAGUCCAUAUCAAMGAUGGGGGKUUYCGACCUCGAUGUUGGGUCARRACAUCCUA
This 444-nucleotide ribosomal RNA is filed under the name Phrynops geoffroanus (Geoffroy's toadhead turtle). RNAcentral's name for it is "partial 16S ribosomal RNA". It matches the Rfam family "Bacterial large subunit ribosomal RNA", at positions 1928 to 2549 of the family's 2925-position model. Lineage: Eukaryota; Metazoa; Chordata; Testudines; Chelidae. The record is from RNAcentral.